Molecule: ribosomal RNA, 262 nt
Filed under: uncultured archaeon
Lineage: Archaea
Description: partial 16S ribosomal RNA
Rfam family: Archaeal small subunit ribosomal RNA
Source: RNAcentral
CAGCCGUAAACUAUGCGCGUUAGGUGUAUCGGUGACCACGAGUCACCGAGGUGCCGAAGGGAAACCGUGAAACGUGCCGCCUGGGAAGUACGGUCGCAAGGCUGAAACUUAAAGGAAUUGGUGGGGGAGGCACCACAACGGGUGGAGCCUGCGGUUUAAUUGGACUCAACGCCGGGAAGCUCACCGGAUAAGACAGCGGAAUGAUUGCCGGGCUGAAGACUCUGCAUGACUAGCUGAGAGGAGGUGCAUGGCGUAGACGUCU